Molecule: long non-coding RNA, 2183 nt
Organism: Numida meleagris (helmeted guineafowl)
Lineage: Eukaryota; Metazoa; Chordata; Aves; Galliformes; Numididae
Exons: 2
Source: RefSeq, a predicted model, not a curated record
GGGGCGGGCGGCGCUGAGCGGCUCGGGGUGCUCGGAGCCGGGAUGAGGGGACACGGAGCCUGGGGGUGGCCCUGGCCCUCCCUGGUGCAGCUCAGGGCCAUCACUCUCUUUCUAUCGCUGCUACCUGGAGCAGAGGUCGACCCCCCUCCCCACCAGCUCCUUUCAGGGCACUGUAGCGAGCAAUAAUGUCUCCUUUCAGCGUCCUCUUCUCCACACUGACCCAUUCCCGUUCCCGCAGCCGCUCCCCACUGUGCUCGCACCCUCACAGCUCCGUGCCCUUCUCUGGACACGCUCCAGGGCCUCGACGUCUUUCUCGCAGCGAGGGGCCCAGAGCUGAACGCAGCACUGAGCUCAUCAGCCAGCCCAGCCCGUCCAGGCCUCACCCUCGGCACAUGGACGCUUCUCCCCAGCCUGGUGUCACCUGCAAACCCAUCUACUGACCCACGCAGACCAGCACGCGCUGCGGCUCCACGCGUCCUCCUGAGGAAGAAACGUGCAUCGUUAAUGUGCUGCGAGAUAACCACGGCCUGUUGUUCCAGGGAGGAGAGCUGUGCCACAGCCACGCACCCUGCCACGCAGGGAAUCGUUCUCAUGGAGGAGAGGGAGAUGUCCUGGAUGGCGUCCCGUCCUGCUGUGGUGUCACGGCUCAGCUCGGUGUCCGCAAACUGCUGAGGUGCCCUCGAUCCCAUCCUCGGUGUCACUGAUAAAGGUAUUGAAGAGCACCGCUCCUAACACGGAGCCCUGGGGGACAGCACUCGUCACCGCCCAGCUGCACAUGGAGCCGCUGAGCACAGCGCUGUGGCUGCGGCCAUCCAGCCAAGCCUUCAUCCAGCCCGGAACCCAUCUCUCUCCAGCUCAGGGAUAAGGACGCGGUGCAGGGCCGUGCCGAGGCCUCGCACAAGUGCAGGCAGCCGACAGCAGCCCCCUCCGGGGCUCAGGCACGCGGUGCCCGCGGUGACGCCGUGCUGGCUGUCUCGGAUCACCUCCUCAUCUCACACCUCUUCCAGGAGGAUCCGCUCUGUGAGGUUCCCGUGCCCGGAGGUGAGCUCACCGGCCGGGAGUGCCGCGCUCCUCGUUCCUCCCCCGGUGAGGUGCACACACGCGUGUCCCGCCCGUGGGUCCCGCUCGGCUCGGGCUGCGCCCACGAGAGGGAGCUCCUGCUCCAGGCAGGGCUGCGUGGCGGGCACUGGGGGGCGCUGUGGGACCCCCACCCACUCCGUGGGACCCCCACCCACAUCGUGGGAUUCCCCAUCUGCACCGUGGGACCCUCACCCACACCACUGGAUCCCCGCAGUACUGGGGGACCCGCACACCGUCGGACCCCCACCCACGCCAUGGGACCCCCACAGCACAUUAGGAGCCCAUCCACGCCAUGGGACCCCCACAGUACUGUAGGACCCCUACCCACGCUGGGGACCCCUCCCACACCAUGCGAUCCCCAUCUGCACCGUGGGACACCCACCCUGUCCACAAGACCCCCGCAGUAUUGUGGGACCCUCACCACUCCGCAGGACCCUCAGCACACUGUGCCCCCCAGCCUGCUGCCACGUGUGAGGCUGCAGGGACAGGGCCAGGCAAAGCAGCUGUGGGGUGAGGGACGUGUGAGGCCCACAGGGGCUCAGGGCACAGCACUGGGGAACAGCCUCACAGUGCAGGGUGGCUCAGAGCCGCGGGGACUCGGCCGUGGUCAGGUCCCCUCUGAUGCCUUGUGUUCUUUCUGCUGGCUCGUGUCGCUGGUGGGCACAGCACCGCAUGGUUCUGGGUGCACAGAGCUGGUGCUUGUGCUUGGAGUGCUGUGGGGGACACAGCCCGGCCCACAUGGACUGCGUGCUGCGGGGAUCUGCCCCCCAAGGUGCCCCCAUGCGGGGGCGGGUGCCUCCACGAUGCUGCUCCGUGCCCCAGCCUGGCCUCGGUCCCCUAAAGUGCGGCUCAGUGGGGACAGAGGUGGCUCCCGCCCCCCAGCCCGUGCCUCAGUUUCCCUUGGUGCUGGGGGGAUGCUCGCAGCCUGCCUGCAGCAGCGGGGCUGAGCCUGAUCCAGGUGUCACCCACGUGUGCUCCAUCAUGCCCCAUCCCUAAGCACGAGCCUUCCUGCCACGUGCCCCCUGCAUGCACACACGGGUACGUGCCAGGUACCGUGAGUGUGCCGGCGUGCACAGCACCCCAAGGCAGCACAGCCCCCAGAG